UGAUGACGAGACGCUAAGGCGUUGAAGCAGUGUAUGUCAGACUUCCAAGAAAAGCUCGCAAUGUCACAAAUAAAAGAUGCCUGUACCAUAACCGACACAGGUGGGUAGGUAGAGUAUACUAAGGGGCGCGAGAUAACUCUCUCUAAGGAACUCGGCAAAAUGACUCCGUAACUUCGGGAGAAGGAGUGCCUUAUUUAUAAGGUUGCAAUAACAAGAUCCAAGCAACUGUUUAUCAAAAACACAGGUCUCCGCUAAGUCGUAAGACGAUGUAUGGGGGCUGACGCCUGCCCAGUGCCAGAAGGUUAAAGAAGUUGGUUAGUGUAUGCGAAGCUGAUGACUGAAGCCCUGGUGAACGGCGGCCGUAACAAUAACGGUCCUAAGGUAGCGAAAUUCCUUGUCGGGUAAGUUCCGACCCGCACGAAAGGCGUAAUGAUUUGGAUACUGUCUCGGAGAGAGGCUCGGUGAAGUAGACUUGUCUGUGAAGAUGCGGACUACCUGCACCAGGACAGAAAGACCCUAUGAAGCUUUACUGUAACUUGAAAUUGGAAUUGGACUUUGCUUGCGCAGUAUAGGUGGGAAGCGUUGAAAAUAUUCUUGCGGGAGUAUUGGAGCUAUCAGUGAGAUACCACUCUUGUAAUGUUAGAUUUCUAACUUUGAACCAUAAUCUGGUCAAAGAACAGUUUCAGGUGGGCAGUUUGACUGGGGCGGUCGCCUCCCAAAUGGUAACGGAGGCGUACAAAGGUUUCCUCUGAACGGAUAGAAAUCGUAUCUAGAGUGUAAAGGCAUAAGGAAGCUUGACUGUGAGACCUACAAGUCGAGCAGGGACGAAAGUCGGUCUUAGUGAUCUGACGGUACUGAGUGGAAAGGCCGUCACUCAACGGAUAAAAGUUACUCUAAGGAUAACAGGCUGAUCUCCCCCAAGAGUUCACAUCGACGGGGAGGUUUGGCACCUCGAUGUCGGCUCAUCGCAUCCUGGGGCGGUAGUACGUCCCAAGGGUUGGGCUGUUCGCCCAUGAAAGCGGUACGCGAGCUGGGUUCAGAACGUCGUGAGACAGUUCGGUCCAUAUCCGGUGUAGGCGCUAGAAUAUUGAGAGGAGCCUUCUUUAGUACGAGAGGACCGAGAAGGACACACCGCUGGUGUACCAGUUAUCGUGCCAACGGUAAACGCUGGGUAGCUAUGUGUGGAGUGGAUAACCGCUGAAAGCAUCUAAGUGGGAAGCCCACCUCGAGAUGAGUAUUCUC
RNAcentral lists this ribosomal RNA (1242 nucleotides) under metagenome. RNAcentral's name for it is "bacterial LSU rRNA". It matches the Rfam family "Bacterial large subunit ribosomal RNA", at positions 1564 to 2815 of the family's 2925-position model. The record is from RNAcentral.